RNAcentral lists this transfer RNA (86 nucleotides) under Collybia nuda. RNAcentral describes it as "Lepista nuda tRNA". It matches the Rfam family "tRNA". Rfam says of the family: Transfer RNA (tRNA) molecules are approximately 80 nucleotides in length. Their secondary structure includes four short double-helical elements and three loops (D, anti-codon, and T loops). Further hydrogen bonds mediate the characteristic L-shaped molecular structure. tRNAs have two regions of fundamental functional importance: the anti-codon, which is responsible for specific mRNA codon recognition, and the 3' end, to which the tRNAs corresponding amino acid is attached (by aminoacyl-tRNA synthetases). tRNAs cope with the degeneracy of the genetic code in two manners: having more than one tRNA (with a specific anti-codon) for a particular amino acid; and 'wobble' base-pairing, i.e. permitting non-standard base-pairing at the 3rd anti-codon position. Lineage: Eukaryota; Fungi; Basidiomycota; Agaricomycetes; Agaricales; Clitocybaceae. The record is from Rfam by way of RNAcentral.
CCGACCUUAGCUCAGUUGGAAGAGCGCAAGACUGUAAUGGGUAACAUAUCAUCUUGAUGUCGCCUGUUCGAGCCAGGCAGGUCGGA